RNAcentral lists this ribosomal RNA (995 nucleotides) under Escherichia coli. RNAcentral's name for it is "partial 23S ribosomal RNA". It matches the Rfam family "Bacterial large subunit ribosomal RNA", at positions 762 to 1756 of the family's 2925-position model. The record is from RNAcentral. Lineage: Bacteria; Pseudomonadati; Pseudomonadota; Gammaproteobacteria; Enterobacterales; Enterobacteriaceae.
CUAACUGGAGGACCGAACCGACUAAUGUUGAAAAAUUAGCGGAUGACUUGUGGCUGGGGGUGAAAGGCCAAUCAAACCGGGAGAUAGCUGGUUCUCCCCGAAAGCUAUUUAGGUAGCGCCUCGUGAAUUCAUCUCCGGGGGUAGAGCACUGUUUCGGCAAGGGGGUCAUCCCGACUUACCAACCCGAUGCAAACUGCGAAUACCGGAGAAUGUUAUCACGGGAGACACACGGCGGGUGCUAACGUCCGUCGUGAAGAGGGAAACAACCCAGACCGCCAGCUAAGGUCCCAAAGUCAUGGUUAAGUGGGAAACGAUGUGGGAAGGCCCAGACAGCCAGGAUGUUGGCUUAGAAGCAGCCAUCAUUUAAAGAAAGCGUAAUAGCUCACUGGUCGAGUCGGCCUGCGCGGAAGAUGUAACGGGGCUAAACCAUGCACCGAAGCUGCGGCAGCGACGCUUAUGCGUUGUUGGGUAGGGGAGCGUUCUGUAAGCCUGCGAAGGUGUACUGUGAGGUAUGCUGGAGGUAUCAGAAGUGCGAAUGCUGACAUAAGUAACGAUAAAGCGGGUGAAAAGCCCGCUCGCCGGAAGACCAAGGGUUCCUGUCCAACGUUAAUCGGGGCAGGGUGAGUCGACCCCUAAGGCGAGGCCGAAAGGCGUAGUCGAUGGGAAACAGGUUAAUAUUCCUGUACUUGGUGUUACUGCGAAGGGGGGACGGAGAAGGCUAUGUUGGCCGGGCGACGGUUGUCCCGGUUUAAGCGUGUAGGCUGGUUUUCCAGGCAAAUCCGGAAAAUCAAGGCUGAGGCGUGAUGACGAGGCACUACGGUGCUGAAGCAACAAAUGCCCUGCUUCCAGGAAAAGCCUCUAAGCAUCAGGUAACAUCAAAUCGUACCCCAAACCGACACAGGUGGUCAGGUAGAGAAUACCAAGGCGCUUGAGAGAACUCGGGUGAAGGAACUAGGCAAAAUGGUGCCGUAACUUCGGGAGAAGGCACGCUGAUA